GAUGAACGCUGGCGGCGUGCCUAAUACAUGCAAGUCGAGCGAACAGACGAGGAGCUUGCUCCUCUGACGUUAGCGGCGGACGGGUGAGUAACGCGUGGAUAACCUACCUAUAAGACUGGGAUAACUUCGGGAAACCGGAGCUAAUACCGGAUAAUAUAUUGAACCGCAUGGUUCAAUAGUGAAAGACGGUUUUGCUGUCACUUAUAGAUGUAUCCGCGCCGCAUUAGCUAGUUGGUAAGGUAACGGCUUACCAAGGCAACGAUGCGUAGCCGACCUGAGAGGGUGAUCGGCCACACUGGAACUGAGACACGGUCCAGACUCCUACGGGAGGCAGCAGUAGGGAAUCUUCCGCAAUGGGCGAAAGCCUGACGGAGCAACGCCGCGUGAGUGAUGAAGGUCUUCGGAUCGUAAAACUCUGUUAUUAGGGAAGAACAAAUGUGUAAGUAACUAUGCACGUCUUGACGGUACCUAAUCAGAAAGCCACGGCUAACUACGUG
RNAcentral lists this ribosomal RNA (497 nucleotides) under uncultured bacterium. RNAcentral's name for it is "partial 16S ribosomal RNA". It matches the Rfam family "Bacterial small subunit ribosomal RNA", at positions 28 to 507 of the family's 1533-position model. The record is from RNAcentral.